CUGUGGCAGUGCGUCCCCUCUCCGCGGGAUCGUCGCCAUGGUCCUGCGAUCCUAGGAGUCGGGCAAGGCCGAACCUGCCUGAAGAAACCUCAAGCGGAGAUUCAAGGAAGCACCACGUGAUCCCUAAGGAUCCCAAAGAUGCGUCGGGCAUGCAUGGGCGGUGUGAGGGUGCGUCUCCCUGACAGGUGUCCCCGCUGGGAUUUCGAGGAAUUAUCCGAUGAAAAGUAGAAGAGGUUGAAUGACUUUCAGUGGCCUUUUCUUCACAGGGCUCACCUGAAACUUCAUGUACCAUUGCACUUCCUGAGAAGCUGUCCCCAAUCCCAGGCUCCUAGCAAUGCUGUUCCAGUAAUCUCUCUUCUGUAAGACAGCCACUCCACCCACUGCAGUCUACAAGGAAAGCCUCCAUAGCUGUGCCUUCUUUCCACAGGCCUUUGAAGAGAGCUUCAGGCACACACCUCAAAGUGCUGCCACCUACGGAUCAGCUGUAUUAUUAGCAAUAGCUGACACUGUGACCAGCCUUUAUUCACCUGAGCUCUGUCUUUAUGUCAUGGUUCUCAUCAGCAUCCAGGGCUCCUUUCCUUGCUCCAGUAAGGAAAGUAUAUUUGGCUUAGGGACUGCACAUACAGCUUAAAAGAAAGGAAAUGGUGCAUGGUCAUGCUAGGGGAUUCCCAGAUUCAAAUCUAGUCCAUUGGCAUCAAAGAAGGGAGACACUGACAGGAAGUGACAGAGAAAGAUGUGACAGUCUAAAGGAUAAGAGAUAAAAAGAUUAUUCAGUAAGAACAGUCUCAGGAAAACAGGACCUUCAACAGAGAUAAGAGAAUUAAAAUAUGCAGACUAACAACUCUGGGAAUGGGCUGACCAGCCUGAUAAGAAUAGGCUGAUGGCACCUACAGAAGGCCACAAAACACUGACCAAGAAAGCAAUGACCAACAAAGCAAUGACCUGAGACUGCACAUUUCACAAGAAUGUUUUGAUCAUCAUUUUUUCUAAUUUCCCUUAAAAACCCCUGAUAUGGAGACAGAACUCGGCGGUCUUUGAACACUAGUUCACUGCCUCCCCUGGGUUGUUGGAUUCCUGAAUAGAGCUAACCAUCCUUUCACCAAUGCUCAUCUCUUAAACUUUCAAGUGACAAGUGGUCUGGACCUGAAUUUCGUUACAAAACCUAUGUAUACCUUACCUUACAUGGCAAAGGGGACUUUAGAAGUGCAAUUAAAUUAAGGAUCUUGAGAGGGGGUUAUCCUGGAUUAUCUGGUUGGGCCCAAUGUAUUUGUAAGUGAUAGAGGGAGGCAGGUGAGUAAAAAAAGGAAACGUGAUGAUGAAAGCACAAGUCAAAAUGUGAUUGCUGGCUUUGAAAAUGGAUGGAAGCCACACCCCAGGGAUCGUGGACAGCCUUUAGAACCAGAAAAGGACAAGGAAACAGAUUCUCCAGUCCUCUAGAACCUCCAGAAGGAACAUGGCUCUGCUAAUACUAUGAUAUUAGCCCUUUCAGACUGAUUUCAGACUUCUGACCAGCAGAGGUAUAAAUCAUAAUUAUAUUGAUUUAAGCCACUAAAUUAGUGGUUAUUAGUAACGGCAGCAACAGGAAACUAUAUCAGCAACAAGACUCCUUCCUUCAUAGAACCCAAUUCCCAACCAAUUUUCAAACUUUCACAGAAAAUCUUGCCACACACUGAGACUAGGAACAUCCAACAAAAAAAUGCUAUCACUUUCAAAUGGAAAACCCAGGAUUGUAGAGAAGAUCAAAUUUUGUCAUGUAUCACAUUUAAACACUCAUCUCUACCUCACCAAACCGUGGUACUAAUGUGUACCAAUCUUAAAAGGAGGUAUUUCUGUUCCCUCAGAGCUCUGGGCAGAAGACUAUGCCUGUGGACAAUGUAGAAUUAUCUGCUGAAUGAAUAUCUGAAAACUGUUUGGAGAGGGGAAAAGCAUUGAGAAGAAUUGGGCUCUUUGCUACUAUUACUCGCUAGAAUGGGAGACGUUUGGAAGCAGUUCCCUUAAGGAACCAAACAAGGCAGGAAAUUCUGGGAUAAAUCUGGUGUUCACAUUACACAACAAAAUGAUUGUACUUCAAGAAGGAAAGAAACAGCAACUCACGUGGGGCAUGGUUUUUUAGAACUGAUCAAUUUUCUGGGUUCUUCUCCUGGAGGUGUGCAAAGUCCAGAGAAGCCAGUGCUGGACAAGGAAAAGAAGCCACAAGAUUAGACUUGGCUCACAGCCCACAAAAUAAACUACUUAGAACUACCUUUACUUCUCCUCUUUUGGGAAUUUGGAAAAAAUCUCAGUUCUUCCACAAACCCAAUGGAAGCCAGCUACUGCAGAAGGGGUUCAGGCAGACCUUUCCUUAAUGUCCAUGUUGAACAGGACCCUAGGUGCUGUUACUUUCCCAUGGCAUCUCCUCUUCCACAGUAGAACAGAGGCAUGCCCAGGGAGCCCCCCACCAUCCUCCUGGACCCAAACACUAAGUCAGGUACUUUGCUCCCAAUCUUAGGAAGGGGCUUCAGAGACCAAAAUGUGGCCUUCUUUCAGACGUCAUGAACAUCAGCUAGACUCACAGACAUUUUGACAGACAUAUCAGGGUCAACAGAUCCAAAACAGUCUCAUCCCACUCCCCUGAAUCUAGUUCUUUCUUGCCUGUUUACUCUUCCCUAUAAAAGAAAAUUCCUUUAUGCCUGACCUUUGCUAUGCUUGCAGAUCUUAUGGCUGGAGUAUUCUCCCAAUUACAACACCUCCUCCCUUACUGCAGUGUUCCUGUGAAUAAAGUCAUUCCUUACCAAAAAAAAAAAAAAAA
RNAcentral lists this long non-coding RNA (2788 nucleotides) under Homo sapiens (human). RNAcentral's name for it is "ZNF571 antisense RNA 1 (ZNF571-AS1)". The record is from RNAcentral. Lineage: Eukaryota; Metazoa; Chordata; Mammalia; Primates; Hominidae.